GGGAACCUCCAUAUGCCGUGGGAUCUGCCCAAAGAAAUAGCAAAAAAAAACAAAGAAAAAAAAAAAAAAAAAAAAAAAAAAAAAAAGUAGUGCAUUUGGAUAUCAAAUUAAUUUGGUUCAAAUCAAGGGUAAAUUUGAAUACUGAGCAGGCCUGGAAAUGAUAUUUAAAGCUCCUUUUCCCUCUUGGGUGACCCAAUAUACCAAAAGGACUUAACAGAUGGAGAUUUAAAAUGGUGGUUGCAGAAGAGGGCACUUCUUUCACUCCCUCCCCAACUUUCCUCUUUAAAGAAGUUCCUGAAUUGACUGCAUUUAGAGUAGACAAUCAUAGUAAACAAUAUUUUGGAAACAAUGUGGUCUAGUUGGUGUUGAAAACUUUAAACUUUUAAAUGUUCUCUUUGUGAAGGAAUUUGCUAAUUAUCCAGCAGAUGUUUUUUCUUUGUAUCCCGUAUGCGUCAUAGUUUCCUUAAAAUUCUCUCCCUCCCUCCCUUUCUUUUUCUCUGGCUCUAGCUCCCUCUUGUUCUCUUUUUUAAAGCAGGGACGAGAGGGGCAAGGAAUGGCGUAAAGCUUAUAUCCUUCUGGGAAAAAAGGCUAUGCUUCAGAGUCAAAGUCCUAAGGUCCUGUCUUGAUGAGAAACCCUCUUCCUUUAAUUAGAACCUCUCUCCUAGAAGAUUCUCUCCCAACUGAGUGACUCCUGUGUCCUGGAACUAAUUUUAUUAAAGUGGGUUGCAACAUUAAAUUGUUUGUUUGGAUUUCACCACUCUACCUAAACUUGCAACCCCCUGUGAACAUAAUCAAAUAUUGGAUUAUAAGUCCCUGUACCUUUUUUUUUUUUUUUUUUUCAGGGGAUUUAAAACAGAAUAUUCCUUUACAGUUCUGGCAAUGAUCAGAGAACUGUCAAAACAACUCAGGAUCUUGGCUGGGAAUUGAUGUUUUUAUCCUGGAAAGAAAAAAAGUACCCAUUAAUAGAACUCUAUAAAAUAAGCAGCAGAAUAUUAAAGUCACCUAGUCAUUGUGUGUUCAUCUGAAUCAGUAUUUUGUGCUACUCAGUGAAUAUCCGUUUUUGAAACAAAAGUCAAAUGUCUUUGUUUUGAUUAUGUCAUUCCCUUGUCUUUCAUAAUAUGAUUGAAGACUCACUAUGAAUUUAUUAUUGAUGGAUUGAUUGAUUUUUGUCCUUACCUAUGGCAUGUGCAAGUUUCUGGGCCAGGGAUUGAACCCGCACCACAGCUGGAACCUGCGCCACAGCUGCAGCAACGCCAGAUCCUUGACUUAUUGCCCCACAUGUGAGCUUCCAUAUUAUUAAUUUUUUUUCUUUUUCCUUUUAUCUUUUAGGGCUGGCACCGUCAGCAUAUGGAAUUUCCUGGGCUAGGAGUCAAAUAAGAGAUGCAGCUGCUAGCCGACACUACAGCCAUGGCAAUGCUGGAUCCAAGCAACAACGCCGGAUCCUUAAUCCACUGAGCAAGGCUAAGGAUUGAACCCAUGUCCUCAUGGAUACUAUCUGGGUUUGCUACUGCUGAGCCACAAUGGGAACUCCCAAACUGUCAGUUUUAAGUGAUGUCCAAGAAGAAAAGAGGAAACAGGAAAUUGAGGGGAAAUGUGGACCGGUGUCAAAUCAAUGUUCUAACCACCCAUGUCCAGUAGUUCCAUCAGAGAAAGGACAACACCCUACAAAGUGGAAUUUGCCUGGUAUUGACCAUCAGUGAAGUAAACCCAAGUUCACAGCCAUCAGGAGGAGCCCACAGAGCUGAGAAAGGACUGCAAGGGAGACAUCCACAAACACUCUGACAGUGAGCUCUAUGAAGACGAGACUUUGUCUGGAUUAAAGAUCAGUUCACUUCUGAGUUCCCGGAGUUUAUCACGACCUGCCUAAAGAUGGCCUUGGUUGACUGAAUGAAUGAAGCCAAACUAGGUGCUCUUGCAAAUCCUGUUCCUCAUACUCUGUCUUGGUGGCAAGUGGGUUCAAUAGAUGACUUCCCUGCGGUGAGAGGCUAAGAGAGUGGGAGGAAUGUCAUUUUUCAGUCGACAGAAAUAAGAGAGACCGCCCUGGCUGCCAUGUUGAGACUAGCUUGCCAUGGAUAAGAGAAGAAUCAAGAAGACCAGGUAAGAAGCAAUCGAGGUGCUUCUGGUGUGAGGUGCUUCUGGUGUAAAGUGCUUAGCUGGGGUGGCAGCAGAGAAAGGGGUGGGAGUGGUCAGCCUGAGUCCACUCUGGCACAUGGCACUGACGGAGCUUGCUGAUGGUGGGAGGUGGGUGUGAGGGGAAGAGAGGAGACAAAGAUGAAGUCAUCCAAGGACUAGUGGGCUGAGCAAUGGGAAGGGUGGAGUUGCCAUCCACUGAGUUUGUAUUUCUCUGUUUCUGGAACUCAGUGGUAAACUUCUGGCAGACAGGAACCAGCGUCUUGUGUAUUCUGUAACCUUCAUACAAACAUGAUCAAAAUUAUGCUAAAUGUAAAAUGAAGUUUAAAGUUCCCCUUAUAGGGUCUUUUCUGGCCCACAGAGGGGUCUCAACGUUGACCUUGGGGCCAGCCAACCAAUGAUCGCUCUCCUUUCCAUGCUGUGUGGAACCCACUUGCUCCUCUGGUGGUGACUUUUGGAUGGCCACGGGGGUAGGUUUCUGCCUAUCUAGUCAAACUAUUAUUUAACCCUUCAUAUGGGUCCAGGUACUUUCCUGAACAGGAGAAUUUCUAGAGAGAGGGAUGGAGGCGGAGGGUGGGAAAUCAGCUCUCAUCCCCUUUAACCAUCUUGUUCUCUUCUUGCUGCAAGACUCCAACAAGGUGAACUUAACCCAGAGGAUACAAGGAAAACAUUUUUGAAGCUUUUUAUAGGGCCGGUUCAGUAAUGUAAAUGUCUGCUUCUGUCCAGGGAUAAACAAUAGGGAGUAAUUGGUACCGAUGCAGCAAACCAGAGUCCCAGGCAAUUGCUGCUGUGUAGAACUGGAGGUGCAAUAAACCAGGCAUGUGUGUGAGCCUAUUGCAGCCCAGGAACCCCUCCUUCCCCAGCCCUGGCCUGAGCAUCAGAGAAGUCCCUUUAAGACCUUCCCUUUCUUCUCAUUGUCCUGUUCUUCCCAGAGUCCUCUCUUGGAUCCAUUCAUUGUUGGUGCUCCUUAUGCACCAUCCUGCAUUAUUUCCACAUUCUUACACCCCCUUAAGAAGUACCUGGGUCCUAGAUACUUUCAAGCCUCUAUGUCUUGCCAACUGUUUCUGUAAGUGCUGCAGGUGUUUGUCUAUUGCUAUCAAGUGCAUACCGUAAGUUAAAGAUACUUUAUUGCUACAAAAUGUUAACCAUCAUCUGAGCCUUCAGCAAGUUACAGUAGUAAUAUCAAUGAUCGCUGAUCACAGAUCACCUUAGCAAAUAUAAUAAUAAUGAAAAAGUUUGAGAAUUACCGAAAUGUAACACAGAGACACCUAGCGAGCCACUGCUGUAGGAAAAAAUGGCACUAAUAAACUCGCUGGAUGCCACAGCGUUGCCAUAAACCUUCAAUUUAUAAAAUUCAAUAUUGUCAAAGUGUAAUAAAAUGAGGUAUGCCUGUAUUUCAACAGUGCUUCUCCUUUAGGGUCUUUCCUUGUAAAUUACUGAAACCUCUAGGGGUUCAACCCAAAGGUUCUCACUUAGAUUAUUUACAUAAAGAUGUUCAUAAUCCCAUGGAAUAACAAAUCUUUAUUACAAAAUUGAGUCUCGUGUUUAGGAAUCUUUGGAGAAGGAAGUUUAAAUACCAAGAAAGAUAUAUUAAGAAAUAAAUUGUGGGAAGAUCGAGGGAAAUUGAGGGGAAAAAAAUCCACUGAUGAGCAUAUUUCAAUAGAGCUUUGACCUACUGGUAGCUCAUCUCUGCACAGCCUCUUCCCAUAGCCCUUCCUACAUGAGCGCCUCCUCCAGGAAGUGGGGCUGUUUGUUAUCAAGCACGUCCAUGUGUUCUUUCUCAGUAAACCAAAAGAUUUCCAAUUUAUCGGAGGGAUUUCAACUCUAGCAAAAUGUUCAGUGUCCCCAAAGCUAUUCAAUACUCUUCAUUAUUCUUAUAACGAUCAGUAGAACACCCUCAUUUAUGUUUAUAUUUUUCCAAAGAUAAAAAUUGGAGCAAUUGGAGGAGGGGGAGAGAUUCAUGGAUACAAAUGGCUUGAUCUUUUCACCUGUUUCACUGGCUCUUUUUUUGAAUGUUGACUUAAUUUUAUACAUCUAGGUAUUCCCACUUCACCCAUUUUGUGGGUGCUUCAGGUGGCCCAAAUAGGAAGGGCCUAUUUAUCGAUUUUUUCUUCUGUGAAUGUGGCCACUGUCCUCUUAGCCUGUGAACAUAAGGUCUGCCGUCCUCUUGCUCUUACUGGUGGGGCAUGGGGGAGGGGUUGUACCCUGAAGAGGCAAAAAUCAUUUCAAAUCCCCUGAAGACCAAAAUAUCAAGAAUUAGAGGGCAAUGUAAUGGCUGGGAGAGGGAAGAAAGGACAGAAGCAAAUAGUUGACAGGUCUCUAAAAUUUUAAUUUUCAGCCCAAAGAAUUUCUUGAAAGGCACCUUUGAGGGGGAGGGCUCAUUGAUUUUCUUUUCUUUUUUUUUGACUUUUUAGGGCCGCACAUGUGGUAUAUGGAAGUUCCCAGACUAGGGGUGGAAUCAGAACUGUAGCUGCUUGCCUACAAC
This 4615-nucleotide long non-coding RNA is filed under the name Sus scrofa (pig). RNAcentral's name for it is "lncRNA (ENSSSCG00055011354.1)". Lineage: Eukaryota; Metazoa; Chordata; Mammalia; Artiodactyla; Suidae. The record is from RNAcentral.